RNAcentral lists this ribosomal RNA (378 nucleotides) under uncultured Chrysophyceae. RNAcentral's name for it is "partial small subunit ribosomal RNA". It matches the Rfam family "Eukaryotic small subunit ribosomal RNA", at positions 30 to 421 of the family's 1831-position model. The record is from RNAcentral. Lineage: Eukaryota; Chrysophyceae.
GCUUGUCUCAAAGAUUAAGCCAUGCAUGUCUAAGUAUAAGUAUUAUACAGCGAAACUGCGAAUGGCUCAUUAAAACAGUUAUAGUUUACAUGAUAAUCGAAUUUACAUGGAUAACCGUGGUAAUUCUAGAGCUAAUACAUGCUGGCGUGCCCGACUUUUGCGGAAGGGCGGUAUUUAUUAGAUGGAAACCAAUGCAGGGCAACCUGGAAUAUGGUGAUUCAUAAUAACUCGCGGAUCGGUUUACCGAUGCAUCAUUCAAGUUUCUGCCCUAUCAGCUUUGGAUGGUAGGGUAUUGGCCUACCAUGGCUUUAACGGGUAACGGAGAAUUAGGGUUCGAUUCCGGAGAGGGAGCCUGAGAAAUGGCUACCACAUCCAAGG